RNAcentral lists this ribosomal RNA (301 nucleotides) under uncultured bacterium. RNAcentral describes it as "partial 16S ribosomal RNA". It matches the Rfam family "Bacterial small subunit ribosomal RNA", at positions 509 to 807 of the family's 1533-position model. The record is from RNAcentral.
CAGUCGCCGCGGGAAUACGAAGGGUGCAAGCGUUACUCGGAAUUACUGGGCGUAAAGCGUGUGUAGGUGGUUGUUUAAGUCUGUCGUGAAAGCCCUGGGCUCAACCUGGGAAUUGCGAUGGAUACUGGGCGACUAGAGUGCGGUAGAGGAUAGUGGAAUUUCCGGUGUAGCAGUGAAAUGCGUAGAGAUCGGAAGGAACAUCUGUGGCGAAGGCGACUAUCUGGGCCAACACUGACACUGAGACACGAAAGCGUGGGGAGCAAACAGGAUUAGAUACCCCGGUAGUCCCUGUCUCUUAUAC